GGUCCAUCUUGUGUUCAGUUGCCACAGUAUGGUUCACUCAGAGGAAAAUAUAAACAAAAUCUAGUUUAUAUUUUACAUAAUGAUUGCAAUGAAAUCACAGCACGUAAGCAUUUAUAGAGUCAAACACGUUUUAUAUCAGACACGGGAAGCAUUCAGAUCUGUAAAUUCAUAUGAAGACAUGGACUUCAUCUCAGGCUGAUUGUACUUUACAUUUUAGAUCAGUGUUAGAUGUUUCAUAAGCUCAACUUGCUGUAUUUGAGUAAUGAUCAGACUAACAACAACAUCAACAGGGUCGAGUGCCCGUCCUCCCGCAGGACAACCAGACAGGAAGGAGAGUCUCUGCCCGCCAGAGGAGGCCUGCAGUCUGCAGACAGUGUCCCUGCUGCAGGGACGACCAGGUGCCACAUACAAAGCGCCGGCGCCCUGCUGCUUCUGCAGACCUUCCCCAGAAAAGGAAGCAGACCUCCGCUGCUCUUCCUCCUAAACCUGCUGACCUGCCCCCUGUCUCUAAUGUGGCCCCCAGCCCCCGGACCUCCACUGCUCCCCUGCACCUCGACAACCCUAUCAGGAUCCACAACCGCUCAGUCGAGGAGUAUCAGCUCAUCUACCAUGAAGUUGUGGAUAACAUGCUGAGGUUCCCGAACGGUCUCCUGCGUCCAUAUAGUUUGGGUCUGGGUCGUCGUAUCAAGCAGAAGCUGUGGGAGCGACUGGACCGUCCGAUGUUCACAGAGACAGUGGAUGAAGACGGUCUGGUCCAUGUGGACGUGUCCUACGGUGCUGGAGUCCAGCCUCCGCUCUUCAACGUGGAUGUUUCUGGUGAACCAGAGCCCGAAUAUCCACCAGCAAAAAGGGCAAAGCACUAAGACACACUCUCAUAAGCUGACAUGUCUAAAUAACACUGUGCUUUAAGUUUAGUUUAGUUGUUUUAAGUUUCAUUUGAGUAGUUUUAAGUUUUAAGUAUGGCAGUUAAGUUUACGUUUAUUAAGUGCAGAGAUAAGUCUUUAGUGCCAAGCAUAAGUAUUAAGUGUUAAGUCUUUAGUUUUAAGUAUUUAGUAAUAAGUAUAGGUAUACAGUGUUAAGAGUAAGUGUUUAGUUUAAGUGUUAAGAAUAAGUAUUUAGUGUUAAGAGUUAGUAUUUAGUUUGAGUUAAGUUGACUUUCAUUGAUCUUAAUGUAUCUCACCACUGAUGAAUUGUCUUCCUCUGAAUCAGUUCAUGCUCCUCUGUUAACAGUCUUCUCAAUCAGCUUCAGCCUCAACAGCAACAGUUAUCACCUGCCAGAACACCUGCUCCACCCUCCAGGCUCCACCUGUUACUUCUACCAUCCACCUCAGACAACACAUCAGCCUUGAGCUGCAGCCUGUUCCAAAAACUCCUCUCCACCUACAGCCGCUGUCUCUCUGCUGCCUCCAUCCUCUACCAGCAGCUUCAGCAACAAACUGCUGCCUCACUCUCCACCUGCAGCCUCUGUUAGCAACCUGCAGUUGUUGGGUCCAGCUGCAGGUUCUGAAAGACAGCUUCAGCCGAACCUGCACCUCCACCCUCUGUCAGCAACCUGCAGCCAACUCCUCCACCUGCAGGUUCAGACGAACUGCUGACGGCUGAACCUCCAUCUACAGCCUUUGCCAGUGCACCUGUGCCUACACCUCUCGAAGUGAACUGCUAUCCGAGCCUCCACCCACAGCCUCUGUCAGCAACCUGCAGCUGCUGCCUCCACCUGCAGAUUCUGACAGAUCACUGCGGUCAAACCUCCAUCUACAGCCACUUGAAGAAGACCACUCCCCCUGAAGAUCCCCACAGAAAGCUGUGGUCAAACCACCACCUACAGCCUCUAUAAGGAAACCUGCACAGAUGUUAUCCUACUGCCAUGUGGAGACCUGAGUGGAACAGCAAGGACCAGAGAAACACACGCAUAUAUAGUCCUUCAGUUAAAAUGCAAAAAUAUAUCUGUGUUAUUAAAGCUGGCUUUCUGUUUACAUUCUGUUCACUUGUUCUUCUUCUCACAGGUGUUUUCAAACAUUGUGUGAAAGACUGAGCACACACUCCUCAACAUGAACCUGACUGACUGUGAUGAUGCCUUCAUGAAACAGAGAGAGCUCCUCUUCCUCCCAAGUUAUCUACCAGGAGCUGAUUCAGGCCCCUGAGGACAACUCCUUCUACAACAGCUCUGUUCCAGAGAUGCUUCCUCCUCCUCCUCCACAUCCUCCACCUUCAC
Molecule: long non-coding RNA, 2212 nt
Organism: Trematomus bernacchii (emerald rockcod)
Lineage: Eukaryota; Metazoa; Chordata; Actinopteri; Perciformes; Nototheniidae
Exons: 5
Source: RefSeq, a predicted model, not a curated record